ACUCAAAGGAAUUGACGGGGGCCCGCACAAGCGGCGGAGCGUGCGGUUUAAUUCGACGCAACGCGCAGAACCUUACCAGGGCUUGACAUGCGACUGCAGAGCGGUGAAAGCCGAAGUCCUUCGAGGGUGUCGCACAGGUGCUGCAUGGCUGUCGUCAGCUCGUGUCGUGAGAUGUUGGGUUAAGUCCCGCAACGAGCGCAACCCCCGUGGCCAGUUACGUGGGUGUCUGGCCAGACUGCCGGUAGCAAGCCGGAGGAAGGCGGGGAUGAUGUCAAGUCAGCAUGGCCCUUACGUCCUGGGCUACACGCACGCUACAAUGGGGCGGACAGAGGGUAGCCAAGCCGCGAGGUGGAGCGAAUCCCAAAAACCGCUUCUCAGUUCAGAUUGUGGGCUGCAACUCGCCCGCAUGAAGGCGGAGUCGCUAGUAACCGCAGGUCAGCAGUACUGCGGUGAAUACGUUCCCGGGCCUUGCACACACCGCCCGU
RNAcentral lists this ribosomal RNA (485 nucleotides) under uncultured bacterium. RNAcentral describes it as "partial 16S ribosomal RNA". It matches the Rfam family "Bacterial small subunit ribosomal RNA", at positions 899 to 1397 of the family's 1533-position model. The record is from RNAcentral.